GGGAGGCUGCAGUGGGGAAUAUUGGACAAUGGGGGCAACCCUGAUCCAGCCAUGCCGCGUGAGUGAUGAAGGCCUUAGGGUUGUAAAGCUCUUUCACCGGUGAAGAUAAUGACGGUAACCGGAGAAGAAGCCCCGGCUAACUUCGUGCCAGCAGCCGCGGUAAUACGAAGGGGGCUAGCGUUGUUCGGAUUUACUGGGCGUAAAGCGCACGUAGGCGGAUAUUUAAGUCAGAGGUGAAAUCCCAGGGCUCAACCCUGGAACUGCCUUUGAUACUGGGUAUCUUGAGUAUGGAAGAGGUGAGUGGAAUUCCGAGUGUAGAGGUGAAAUUCGUAGAUAUUCGGAGGAACACCAGUGGCGAAGGCGGCUCACUGGUCCAUUACUGACGCUGAGGUGCGAAAGCGUGGGGAGCAAACAGGAUUAGAUACCCCAG
RNAcentral lists this ribosomal RNA (430 nucleotides) under uncultured bacterium. RNAcentral's name for it is "bacterial SSU rRNA". It matches the Rfam family "Bacterial small subunit ribosomal RNA", at positions 343 to 790 of the family's 1533-position model. The record is from RNAcentral.